GAUGAACGCUGGCGGCGUGCCUAAUACAUGCAAGUCGAGCGAACAGAUAAGGAGCUUGCUCCUUUGACGUUAGCGGCGGACGGGUGAGUAACACGUGGGUAACCUACCUAUAAGACUGGAAUAACUCCGGGAAACCGGGGCUAAUGCCGGAUAACAUUUAGAACCGCAUGGUUCUAAAGUGAAAGAUGGUUUUGCUAUCACUUAUAGAUGGACCCGCGCCGUAUUAGCUAGUUGGUAAGGUAACGGCUUACCAAGGCAACGAUACGUAGCCGACCUGAGAGGGUGAUCGGCCACACGGGAACUGAGACACGGUCCGGACUCCUACGGGAGGCAGCAGUAGGGAAUCUUCCGCAAUGGGCGAAAGCCUGACGGAGCAACGCCGCGUGAGUGAUGAAGGUCUUCGGAUCGUAAAACUCUGUUAUUAGGGAAGAACAAAUGUGUAAGUAACUGUGCACGUCUUGACGGUACCUAAUCAGAAAGCCACGGCUAACUACGUG
RNAcentral lists this ribosomal RNA (497 nucleotides) under uncultured bacterium. RNAcentral's name for it is "partial 16S ribosomal RNA". It matches the Rfam family "Bacterial small subunit ribosomal RNA", at positions 28 to 507 of the family's 1533-position model. The record is from RNAcentral.